AGACCUACCUUUGAGUAAUUUCCACAUACUAUGACCUUUUCUUGUAUUUUGGAGUUCUGUAUUGUAAAGUUAACCCAGCAAUUCUCUUGUUUUAUACAUGCAUGUAUCGAGUAUGUUUUGGUAUGGGUCACUAAAUGUGCAUGCUUUCUGUUUCCCCUAUCAUGGCUAAACUCAUGGAUGCUUGUUUUCACUUUUGUUUUUUAAAAAGAGAAUACUCAGUAAUCAUGAAAAGAUAAUAAAAAAAAAUUAAGGGAAGAUACCCUACGUAACCAAACCCCAUGGAGCUGUUUAGCAAUUUAUUUUGCAAAAUAGAUUUUGAGAAAUUAUUUAUAGAACUGUGAAUAAAUAUCUUGUGGAGGUUGAGAUUAUUGUGCGCUUGAAAUUUUUGUUUUUUCAAUGGUAGUAAAGCUAAACGAUUUUAGCUUUGGAUUUAAGGAAGUGCCUAGUAAGCAUAGUCAUAUACCGUAAAGGAAGGCUGACAUGGUAGUAUGUGAUCAGAGACAUCAAGUGGACAGUCUACCAUAAAUUGGCAGAAAAAGGGUGUUUGAGGAACAUGUGAGCUUAUAUUUCUUUGCUUGCAUUAGCAGCAUUGGUUGGGACAGGUUGAAUGCUUGUGGCUUUGAGUUCUUUGACCAACACCAAAUCCCCCAACACUGAACUCCAUCAGAAGGAUUUCACCUUGUUUUGGGCAUUUAACUAUCCAGAUGGCUGUACAAGGGCCAAAAGACCAGAAUCAAGUAUGUGGUUUCUGCUAUUAACAAUAAUAAUUAAGCUAGCCUCUUCAAUGGCUCAAUCGUGAAUAUAAAUCUCAACAAUGAGUCAUUUGGCUUCUAGUGGAGGCACAACUCAAACAGUCUAGUCUAGGGAUUAUCAUGAUUGAAGUGUUAGGAGUCCCACCAAAUGUUCUUCAAAUGACGUUCCUUAUUUUUUUGAACCAGAAAUGAGACUUUCCAUUGAAGAAAUGAAAAGAGACUAAUGCUAAAAAAUACGAACUCCACAAGGUAGCAACAUAUUAUAAAGGAAAGUUAUGGAGGAGAUAUAAAAGCAUGCCAAUUUAAAUUAGUAUCAAAUAAGUAAGGCUUCGAUAGAUAACAUCAUGAAGAUGCCUUCAAAUAAGUAAGGCUGCUUGUCUUUGAAGAUUCUUUGAUUCCUUUCCAUCCAUAUUUCCGAAGAAUUCGCCACAUUAACUCGCACAAAAUUGGGUUCAGAAUUGUGCAAAUUUUUCAGAAAGGAAAUCUUAUGAUAUGUUGGGAAUUUCUUAUGAUAACCAUCCACAUCUAAAGCGUAUCUUAAUGCCUGAAAAUUGGGUAGGAUAUAAUAUAAGGAUUAUGUUGCCCCCAAUUUUUAUGAAAUACAAGAGGGUAGGAUGUAAUGUAAGGAUUAUGUUGCCCCCAACUUUUAUGAAAUACAAAAUGCUCAUUAAAUAAUAUGAAACUAAUCUUCACUUCGACAACUCAAGAUAUUCAAAUACAUUUGUACGUUCUCUUAUAGAUAUAGCAUAGUAAUUGAAGUCUCAUUCAUCUUAUUAUUAUUGAUUUAAAAUAUAAA
Molecule: long non-coding RNA, 1548 nt
Organism: Cucurbita maxima (winter squash)
Lineage: Eukaryota; Viridiplantae; Streptophyta; Magnoliopsida; Cucurbitales; Cucurbitaceae
Exons: 2
Source: RefSeq, a predicted model, not a curated record